RNAcentral lists this ribosomal RNA (527 nucleotides) under Weissella cibaria. RNAcentral's name for it is "bacterial SSU rRNA". It matches the Rfam family "Bacterial small subunit ribosomal RNA", at positions 28 to 509 of the family's 1533-position model. The record is from RNAcentral. Lineage: Bacteria; Bacillati; Bacillota; Bacilli; Lactobacillales; Lactobacillaceae.
GAUGAACGCUGGCGGCGUGCCUAAUACAUGCAAGUCGAACGCUUUGUGGUUCAACUGAUUUGAAGAGCUUGCUCAGAUAUGACGAUGGACAUUGCAAAGAGUGGCGAACGGGUGAGUAACACGUGGGAAACCUACCUCUUAGCAGGGGAUAACAUUUGGAAACAGAUGCUAAUACCGUAUAACAAUAGCAACCGCAUGGUUGCUACUUAAAAGAUGGUUCUGCUAUCACUAAGAGAUGGUCCCGCGGUGCAUUAGUUAGUUGGUGAGGUAAUGGCUCACCAAGACGAUGAUGCAUAGCCGAGUUGAGAGACUGAUCGGCCACAAUGGGACUGAGACACGGCCCAUACUCCUACGGGAGGCAGCAGUAGGGAAUCUUCCACAAUGGGCGAAAGCCUGAUGGAGCAACGCCGCGUGUGUGAUGAAGGGUUUCGGCUCGUAAAACACUGUUGUAAGAGAAGAAUGACAUUGAGAGUAACUGUUCAAUGUGUGACGGUAUCUUACCAGAAAGGAACGGCUAAAUACGUGCC